RNAcentral lists this long non-coding RNA (205 nucleotides) under Carica papaya (papaya). RNAcentral's name for it is "long non-coding RNA (CPAP_LNC006742)". The record is from RNAcentral. Lineage: Eukaryota; Viridiplantae; Streptophyta; Magnoliopsida; Brassicales; Caricaceae.
UAUAAGAGACUUAACCAAUCUACUUUUGUAGGGGCAUCCACUUUUGAAGAAGCUGAAUACUAGUUAGCAAAGAUAGAGAAGACAUUCGCGACCCUUGGAGUAGUUCCUUGACAAAAGGUUGUCAUUGCCCCUUAUAUGCACGUAGGUGAGGCAGGGCGUUGGUGAUAACUUAAGCAGGCUACUUUAACACUCAAGUCACCUAGGA